GGAAGGGUGGCCGAGUGGUUGAAGGCACCGGUCUUGAAAACCGGCAGGCGGGGAACCGUCUCGUGGGUUCGAAUCCCACCCCUUCCGCCA
This 90-nucleotide transfer RNA is filed under the name Parvibaculum indicum. RNAcentral describes it as "tRNA-Ser". It matches the Rfam family "tRNA". From Rfam's summary of the family: Transfer RNA (tRNA) molecules are approximately 80 nucleotides in length. Their secondary structure includes four short double-helical elements and three loops (D, anti-codon, and T loops). Lineage: Bacteria; Pseudomonadati; Pseudomonadota; Alphaproteobacteria; Hyphomicrobiales; Parvibaculaceae. RNAcentral also lists the same sequence under 2 other names. The record is from RNAcentral.